UACGGGGGGAGCAAGCGUUGUUCGGAUUUACUGGGCGUAAAGGGCGCGUAGGCGGCCACCGCAAGUCAGUUGUGAAAUCUCUGGGCUUAACCCAGAAAGGUCAACUGAUACUGCGGGGCUAGAGUGCAGAAGGGGCAACUGGAAUUCUCGGUGUAGCGGUGAAAUGCGUAGAGAUCAAGAGGAACACUCGUGGCGAAAGCGAGCUACUGGACAAUUCCUGACGCUGAGGCUCGAAGGCUAGGGUAGCGAAAGGG
Molecule: ribosomal RNA, 254 nt
Filed under: uncultured bacterium
Lineage: Bacteria
Description: partial 16S ribosomal RNA
Rfam family: Bacterial small subunit ribosomal RNA
Source: RNAcentral